ACGCACGCUGGCGGCGUGCUUAACACAUGCAAGUCGCACGGUGAAGCGCCUUCCUUUUUGGGGGGGUUGGUUGAGGGGCGACCGGGUGAGUAACACGUGAGUAACCUGCCCCCUUCUUCUGGAUAACCGCAUGAAGGUUUGGCUAAUACGGGAUUUUCUGGGUCUUUCGCAUGAUGGUUUUGGAAAAGAUUUUGUUUCGGGGGGGAUGGGGCUGCCGGCCUUUCAGCUUGUUGGUGGGGUUGUGGCCUACCAAGGGGGUGCCGGGGUGCCGGCCUGAGGGGGGGGACGGUCAAACUGGGACGGAGACACGGCCCAGGCUCCUACGGGAGGGAGGAGGGGGGGAUAUUGGACAAUGGGGGCAAGGCUGAGGGAGCGACGCCGCGUGAGGGAUGGAGGCCUUCGGGUUGGGAACCUCUUUCGCCAGGGAAGCAGGCCUGCCUCGGUGGUGGGUGGGUUGACGGUAGCUGGAUAAGAAGCGCCGGCUAACUACGU
RNAcentral lists this ribosomal RNA (492 nucleotides) under uncultured bacterium. Its description in RNAcentral is "partial 16S ribosomal RNA". It matches the Rfam family "Bacterial small subunit ribosomal RNA", at positions 29 to 506 of the family's 1533-position model. The record is from RNAcentral.